Molecule: long non-coding RNA, 2061 nt
Organism: Brachypodium distachyon (stiff brome)
Lineage: Eukaryota; Viridiplantae; Streptophyta; Magnoliopsida; Poales; Poaceae
Exons: 2
Source: RefSeq, a predicted model, not a curated record
AUCCCAGUUUUAAUUGCUAAAUUCGCAAUCCGCCGCCUCCUUUCUUCCCUCUCAAACUCCAGUCCCACCGGCGGCGACCUGCCGCGCCGCAGCGAUCUCCCGGUGGUAUGUCCAGCGGAGGCGACGCCGACGGCGCCAAGAUUAAUAGCGGCGGCGAUGAAUGGAGGGCCGGGGCGGAGUUCUCGAUGCCCCUCUCCGUGCUGGACGCUUGACCCCAAUUCCGCAAAGGUGCGCGGGAGGAGACAGCAGGGAGAUGAUAUCUCCCAUUCUGGUCAUGAUGCUUGCAUAUUCACUUGUUAGAAUUGAUGCCUUAUGAUAAGAAUGACCAAUAAUAUUGGACCUUUUUGGUUGGCCUUUUUACUGAAGCCAAAAAUCAGGCUGCUGCAGAUAGAAUUGAUGCCUGGGAAACUGUGGUAAUUGUGAUUCUUUAGAAUAUUUGGUUUCCGGUCAAAACAUUGUAUACACUACUUAACUCUAGCUUAGUUACUCGACACGUGCUCCAUACCAAACCUCUAAGUCCAAGUCCAACCAGCCAAACAAAUCUGAGAACAUAGUGUCUAUCAAGAUCAAGAUCAAUGCCAAUCAACCAGUAAUUGUUAGGUUCAGACAUAAAACUGUAACCACUACUAGAUAGGAUGCUCAGAUGAUGCUGGAUUUUAUGCAAUUUAGGCUUGAUUAAAUUAAAAGAGGCAUGCUUUCUGUAAACUCUGUAAGCUCAAGUCCAAUCAAGUGUUUUCCUGGUACUAACUGUAACUGUUCUCUCAUUCAAGGGUUAGGUAUAUAACAGUACUAGAACAGUGUCAAUCUUAAUGUAGCAUGCUCCAUUUGCUUCGUAUCAGACAGUAGCUGUCUCCAAACAUGGUUAGGAAAAGUUAGCAUCUGACUCCAUAAUGCAUGCAGGUCUUUCUUUGUACAGAUAUGGCAUCAGCUGGCUCCCAUCAAUUUAGGCCUUGGUCAGUGUAAAAGGUGCCUCAUGUAUACUUGCUUGUGAAGUUUUUUUUUUGAAAGAAAACUGUAGGAGAGGCUCCGGCAGUGAUUAUAUUAAACAAAAAAUAUGUACAAAAUAUACUAAAUAGGGGAAAAGGAACCCCAGGAACACAAGAGGGCACAGGACACAGCAGCUUGCUUGUUAAGUUCGUAAAAAUAUCGUCUUCUAUAGCUCUCUUUCACAGUCUUGAAUUCUCGCAAGGAAACCUCACCUCAGCUGCAGUGAUUUUGACUUCUGGUUUCAAUCUGUUGUCUGCUGCAUACAAAAGUCCAAGAAAACAAAAUUGAUUUUUGUGAUGUCUCCUCUUCCUUUGCCAAGCAUUAUAUAUAAUGUUAUAGGAUUGUGGAAGUGCACCACAGUUCAGUUCUCAAACAAAUUAAGACGAGGACAGGGGGCUCCUGUUCUUCUUCUUCUUCCUACACAUACACUGCACCCUCGCUCAAUUAGCUUGACAGCAGUACUAAUUACGUCAAUUAAGAACUAGCAAAGACGAUGAGCCAGACCAAGACCGCCAAGAGCAGCAUGGAAGCGUCGUCUGAGGGUUCGCCGGCAAGCUCAUGCGUGUCGUCGGAUGCAGCAGAGGAGGAGGAUCAGAAGCCGAUGAUGGUGGUAGCUGGGUGCCCCCGGUGCCUCAUGUACGUGAUGCUCUCGGAUUCAGAGUCGGAGGAUCAAGAGAAGGAGAAGAAGAAGCAGAAGCCCAAGUGCCCCAGAUGCAAGAGCCCCGUGCUGAUGCACUUCCACGAGUACCACUGUGACACCAAGAACAAGAUCUGACUGCCAACAAGACACUGUAUAGUAUUAUUAAGAAUAGAAAGGUUCGGUAGUCAGAAAGAUCUGACUGCCAAGAACAAGGUCUCAUCUCUCGCUGGUCAUCGAACCACACCGUUCGAUCAUUAGCAUGAACUAGUAUGAUGUACUACUAGAUAUGAAAGUAGUAACUGGAGGACUUGAUAGAAUUCCAUGUGUAUCCUACUCCCUACUUACUUAGUAGCUUGUGAUUGUAAGAUAUAUACACAUAAUUACAUACUGUGCCUUCAUCUUCAUCUAACCAUGUUGCUCUCUCUUUUUUCUUU